This 166-nucleotide ribosomal RNA is filed under the name uncultured bacterium. RNAcentral describes it as "partial 16S rRNA". It matches the Rfam family "Bacterial small subunit ribosomal RNA", at positions 353 to 511 of the family's 1533-position model. The record is from RNAcentral.
UAGGGGAAAUCUUCCACAAUGGGCGAAAGCCUGAUGGAGCAACGCCGCGUGUGUGAUGAAGGGUUUCGGCUCGUAAAACACUGUUGUAAGAGAAGAAUGACAUUGAGAGUAACUGUUCAAUGUGUGACGGUAUCUUACCAGAAAGGAACGGCUAAAUACGCGCCAG